CGUACACUCCUGCGGGAGGCAGCAGUGGGGAAUAUUGCACAAUGGGCGCAAGCCUGAUGCAGCCAUGCCGCGUGUAUGAAGAAGGCCUUCGGGUUGUAAAGUACUUUCAGCGGGGAGGAAGGCAAUACGGUUAAUAACCGUGUUGAUUGACGUUACCCGCAGAAGAAGCACCGGCUAACUCCGUGCCAGCAGCCGCGGUAAUACGGAGGGUGCAAGCGUUAAUCGGAAUUACUGGGCGUAAAGCGCACGCAGGCGGUCUGUCAAGUCGGAUGUGAAAUCCCCGGGCUCAACCUGGGAACUGCAUUCGAAACUGGCAGGCUUGAGUCUUGUAGAGGGGGGUAGAAUUCCAGGUGUAGCGGUGAAAUGCGUAGAGAUCUGGAGGAAUACCGGUGGCGAAGGCGGCCCCCUGGACAAAGACUGACGCUCAGGUGCGAAAGCGUGGGGAGCAAACAGGAUUAGAUACCCCGGUAGUCCCA
Molecule: ribosomal RNA, 476 nt
Filed under: uncultured organism
Description: partial 16S ribosomal RNA
Rfam family: Bacterial small subunit ribosomal RNA
Source: RNAcentral